Molecule: ribosomal RNA, 666 nt
Filed under: Triticum aestivum (bread wheat)
Lineage: Eukaryota; Viridiplantae; Streptophyta; Magnoliopsida; Poales; Poaceae
Description: partial small subunit ribosomal RNA
Source: RNAcentral
GCCGCGUACGUGCGGAACGAAUUUCUCGUGAUCGAGUGGGAAGUCAGUGUUAUCAAGGACAGGGAAAUACCCGAGAUCCAUGUACCACCCUCUGACCUUUCGGAUAAUCUUGCAACAUUGCUAGAGGGGAAGAAAGGAACAGACAUGACUUUCAAGGCUCAAGGGGAGAUCGUUGCUGCUCAUAAGAUUUUGCUUGCGAUGAGGUCGGCGGUCUUCGAUGCCAAGUUCUAUAGGCCUAUGGCUACGAGGGACAAAGAGUCACAGGACAUAACUAUCGACGACAUGCAGCCAGCUAUUUUCAAGGUAUUUCUUCACUUCAUCUACACGGAUUCAUUGCCUUACAUAGUUGAUCUUGAUGAUGAUGACAAAAGAGAAAUGGUUAAGCACUUACUUGUGGCUGAUGAUAAGUAUGCGAUUGAAAGGAUGAAGGUGAUACAUGAAGGCAUGCUAUGCUUGAGUCUUGAUGUUCAGACCGUGGCGACAAUAUUAGCUCUAGCUAAGCAGCUUCAUUGCAGUAACCUCAAAGAUGCUUGAAUUGAAUUUAUGCUCUCUUAGAAUAGAAUGAAUGAUGUGCUCGCAAGCCAAGGGUAUCUACAUCUCAAAAGAUCUGUUCCUGACAUCAAUAUUGAUGUGUUUGAGAGAACAGUUAAGUCCCGCAAAAUUUAG